This 7708-nucleotide long non-coding RNA is filed under the name Phoenix dactylifera (date palm). RNAcentral's name for it is "long non-coding RNA (PDAC_LNC000903)". Lineage: Eukaryota; Viridiplantae; Streptophyta; Magnoliopsida; Arecales; Arecaceae. The record is from RNAcentral.
GUUGCUUGUCUCAGAUACUGGAUGUAGAAAUCUAGACCCAGGUUAAGCCCACACAAAUAUAGCAAAAGAAUAUCAAAACAGAUUAGACACAAAAGUAAGAAAAUAUACUAAUGAAAGACAGAGAAAAAUGCUAACAGUAUAUUCACAGCAUUCAAGAUGCAAGAUCAAUAAUGCUAGAUCCAACUCAUAUAGUAACGAUUUCAAAUUAUGAAAUUAAGACUACAUCAAGAAAACAUAAGAGAGAGAAUACCAAACUGUGAUCAAAGUAGAGUACAUGAAGACUUGAUCAUACAUAACACUCAAUCCAGCCCUGCAGAAAAACCCACAUAUAUAACAUAUAGACACAGAAAACCAACAAAAAGUUCUACUUUCUUGCUAGGAGAGAUGAGAAGCGACACACCAAUGUUGACAGAACAUAAAAGAAAGAACCGAAGCCACAAAAGAACCAAAGAAACCAAAGAGUGAACCAGGUAACCAAAGAAACACAUCGUUGCUUGCUUAAACGGGUACGACGAUACAAUUCAGAGCUUAAGUGACCAACUGAAGCAUUGAGACCAAACCUCCAAAUAUUUUAGGGUAUGGAUUGAUUCUUUCCAAAAGAUGACAAUGUCAAGAACAGGAACAAGUGUUGACAAAAUAAAUAUCUACAGAUGAAAAAAUUGUAGAUGAGAUAAAUUGCUAAAAGUGGUGGGAGUCAUGGUGGUUUUUUUUUUGGGGGGGGGGGGGGUUCAAGCAUUGCAUAAUCUCAAUGGACUUAUCCUUCAAAUGGGCAUGAUUCAUCAAUUUUAGAGACUUCUCAGUUUUCAGAGGCUGCAAGGGUUUAAAAAGACAUCAGAAAUCAAUCAAGAGACACAAAGUAGAACAGGAGGUUAGGGAUUUAAGGAAGGUGAAUACCAUGGUUGAACAAAAGGAACUUGCACCCAGCAAAGCAAACGAAGGUGCCAGAUUUCAAAAAUAAACCCAAGUAACCAUAAGGAAAACCUCCAUGGCAAGACCCAAAAUGCUCUUAAAGGGGGAAUCAAAUCUGCAAUAAGUUAAAAUUAAUUAAAGAAAAAAGAUCCAGCAUCAAGAUAGUGGAGAUCAAAUUGAUCUUAUCAAAAUAAUAUCUGACCCACUUCAGGGAUUUAUCAAAACCUUUUGUAAAUAUGUAUGCUUUGGGUCUUUCCCACCCUUUUGGUAAGAAUUACUAUCCUACCUGCAAUAUGCACAAAAAUGGAACAAGUUGGCAUCAACAAUGCUAUACAAUAAGAGCUAAUACUGUGCAAUCAUUUCCCUUGAAGUCCAUUUCUAGGCCCUGAGCUAUAAGCAGAAUUGGAAGAAAAGCAUGAACUUCUAUACCAUGCUUUGAAAAAUACUGGUAAACCAAACAAUUAUUAAAUGAUCAAAGAGUCCAUAUGCAUACAUAAUGCAUUAGCAUAGGCAUAAAUAAAAAUAUGGAUAUGUUUUACCUUUUCUAUCAAACUAAUAUAUAUGAUGCAGAUAUGAGUAUUAUAUCAUCUGAAUGAAUGCCAAUUGAUUUGGAAGAUCCUCAUCAUCAUCUAGCAUGCAAAGGAAAACUAAAACCAAGAACAUGUUUGAAUAGAUUAAUUAGAGUAAGCAGGGUCCACCAAUCUGCAUCCAUGUUUCAAAACAUGCAGCAGAUAAAGAUAUUGUUUCAUUAUCUAUUUAUUUACAAGGUAGAAUUAUCUUUUUUGUAUAGACAAAAAAGUUUUCCUUUUCAUGAACAACACAAUAUCAGCAAUACAAAAAUGAUAAUAUUUUUUUUGAAUUAGAAAUGAUUAUAUUUUUAAAAUAAUAGAAAAAGAAAAGUGAAGACCAACACUCGCUACAAAGGUUUGAUGGGCCAAAUCAAGCCUCACUGCAUGCCCCAACUGUUCCUGAUCAUUCGUUUUAAGUGCUUACUAAAGGAUCAUAGACAAAUACUAUUAAAGGUGAUUGUAUAAAAUAAUGGAUAACCUUGUGCGCUCAUGAUGGCCCCUGUUUAAUAAAAAAAUUCAGAGAACAUCUUAACAUCAAAAAUUUUCAAGAUAAUUGCUGAAGAUCUUCGAAAGGGAGAAAGAGAUGAAGCAUUCUGCUAGCUGUGAUCUUUAAAAGCAAUUAUUUUAAGAAAAAAGUUGAAGGGUUUCUAAGUUACAGAGUUAGGAUGACAAUCAAUGUUGAUCUAUGUUAUGUGCUGAAGAAUUGAUCACUACUUCAAACAAAAAAGAAAAGUGUACUUUCUGAGUUGCUUUUUCAAUGGCAAAUUCAAUGACCAAAUAAUCUCUUGAAGCAUCUACCAUCAGCAAAAGUCGACCAGAGUUCAACAAUUUCACCUUCUUGUUAAAAAGAAUUCAGCCAUACAGAGUGAAGAAGCACAUAAAACAUGUGCACAUAUGUAUAUUAUAUAACUGAAAGGCAUUUAGAUGCUUUAGAAGAUGGUGCACACACAUCAGGUAUUUAACCAGGUUUGCUUCAGACCACUGCCCACUAUUAGUAUCAAGUUCAGAUAGAAUUAAUUGGAGGCCCCACUCAUUCUGAUUUGAGAAGAUAUGGAUCCACUAUGAAGGUAUUCAACAAAUGAUCAGAGAAGCAUGGCAGUGCAAGGGACACCACCACUCACCCGGUAUCAAACUCACCAUCCUUCUCAACAAAACAAAGGAAGCCUUGAUUAAGUGGAGGACGAGAAUUGGGAAUAUCUUCAAAAGAGGACAAUCUCUAAAAGAAAAAACAUUGGAAAUCCAGCUAAUACUGUCACUCAGGAACAAAAUGAGAUAUUGAUCAGGGUGGUGGCUGAAGAUGAAGUGGAAGAGGCAAUUAGAAGCAUGGCACCUGAUAAAGCUCCCGGUCUAGAUGGGUUUCAAGCAUUGUUUUUCCAUGAAUUUUGGCAUAUUAUCAGGAAGGAGGUUAUCAGUGCAGUUAAAUAUUUCUUCAACACUGGUAGAAUGCCGACUUCAUGGAAGAAGACCUGUAUUGUGCUAAUUCCUAAAACAAGCAACCCAAAAAGCCUAAAUGAUUAUAGGCCUAUUAGCCUCUGUAAUACUAUAUACAAAGUAGCUAUAAAAAUCCUUGUUAAUAGACUACGACCUAUUAUCACUUCAUUAAUUUUUGAAGAGCAAGGAGCCUUCAUCCCAGGCCAUGGCAUCCCUGAUAACAUUUUACUCGGCCAAGAAAUUAUGCAUUCUCUGAUGAGAGCUCCGCUUUCCAAAAGUCUAAUGGCAAUUAAACUUGAUAUGGAAAAGGCUUAUGACAGGAUUCAUUGGCCUUUUCUUAUAAGGUCCUAGCUACUUCCGGCUUCCAUCAUAAAUUUAUUCAGUGGGUACAAGAGUGUGCAACAAAUUUCCAGUUUGCCUUAUUGAUCAAUGGCACACCUACAGAUUGGUUUCACGCAUCCAGGGGACUUCGGCAAGGAUGCCUGUUAUCCCCCUACUUAUUUAUCCUAUGUACUGAAAUUUUUUCCAGGCUUCUGCACCUUGCUGUACAAUAUGAAGAAUUAAGAGUUUUCAAGCCAGGAAGACAAGGUCCAAAAUUAUCACAUACUUUUUUUGCAGACGACUGCUUAUUAUUAGCUAGAGCAACCAUCAGAGAUAGCUUAUGUCUUCAAGUCAUCCUAAAUCUAUAUUGCCCAAUGUCAGGUCAGGCGGUUAACACUGAAAAAUCACAUAUCAUAUUUAGUCCCUCAACCCCAAGAACAACAAAAAGAAGGAUUCGCACUGUGUCACAGAUAGUCGAGAAGCAAGGAGUUUGGAAAUAUUUAGGAGUUCCCAUUUCAGGUAUGCCUCUGGGAUCAUCUGAAUUUAAUUUUCUAAUGGAGAAAAUGCUAGGAAAGAUUGCGAUCUGGAAAUGGAGGGCCUUAUCUCUAGCCGAACGUGCAACUCUGCUCCAAUCAGUGCUCUCAUCCAUCCCUCUAUACUGCAUGUCAUGCCUACAUAUUCCAUUAGCAGUGUUGCAUAGAAUGGAGAAAGAACUCCAAGCUUUUUUAUGAGGACCUUCAUCAGAGAGAAGGGGUCCACAUCUCAUUUCAUGGCACUACACUUGUUUACCUUGGGAGAGUGGAGAUCUUGGCAUAUGUUCCCUGCUAGUUAGAAGACAGGCUUAUUUAUGUAAGCUGGCUGCUCAUCUGGUGCUUAACCCUUCCUCUCUGUGGGCACAGGUGGUCAGUGCCAAGUACCGGUUCACACGAUCAUGGCGCAACUACAAGAGGCCGAAUAGAUGCUCUUCAAUCUGGACUAAAAUUACCUCAUAUGGAUCAAAGGUCCAUUAUCAGUUUCAGUGGAAUGUAUGUAAUGAUAUCUAUUGCACUUUUGAAUGACCCUUGGGUGGACACUAUUCCUCUUAAUAAGUGGCCCACUUUUAUUAACAUGGAUAUGGACUGCACACAAAUGUGGGUCCAGAAUUUGAUUGACUCAAACAGAGAAUGGAACAUUACUCUAUUGUCUACUCUGUUAGCAUAUUGUCAUUUGAGGACAUUUAUGUGAUUGUUUUCUUUGUAGGAGUCUUUUUAUUAUUUUGUGAUCAUAUAUAUAUGGGUCCAUACACUUGUUAAGAUUGAUAAAUGAUUGAUUGAAUGAUGAACUUAGGAAAGAACUUGUCCUCCGAAAGGUGUCCACUUUAGACCAGGCAUAUACAUUCGUGCAAAACUAUGAGCAGGUCUCCAAGUCCAUGUUUGUGAGACGCUCUGACAAUCAGGGCACUUCCACUAGUCCCCAUUCUUCAGGGUCCAAACCUUCUGUAGGGUCCUCUGCCCCUAAAACCCCUUCUACAGCUCCUAUCCCAAGCCGAAACACUAAAGGUAGGAAAAUUCUCGGUGAACCCCCAAAGCCAACCCUAGAAUUCAGUGCUAUAAAUGUCAAGGUUUCGAUCACGUUGCCUCUCAAUGUGCCAAUACGCCUCUAGUUAUUGAUCAACAAGACUUAGAAAAUAACACAGAUGACUUCGAGGAACAAGUCUAUGAACCAAACAUCGAUGACAUUCAAGACAUUAAUGAGAAAGCGCGUGAUAACAAACCUAAUACCCUAGGAUGCAUCCGCGCUACACCUAUAUCCAUUGCAUCUUUAGAGAGAGAGUCUAACUCGUCCACUCUAAGUGUAGUCCACAUCCUGCAUCCCGUUGAAUUUGAAACUUAGGGUUACAUAAUGAUCCAUAUUAAGGAAGUGCGAUCUCUUAAUGUUGGACCAUUCAGGGUGUUGCACAAGGAUGGCACUGAUGCCUAUGCCAUUGACUUCUCAUUUGAUUUUGGUAAUAUCCUUACUUUUAAUAUCAAAGAUUUGGUUGCAAUCCCUGAUGACCUUUUUGCUGAACCCUCUCCUGAGCCAAUUGCUUAUCCUAUUACUGAUUCCAUGCCAUCUUCGUCUCCUUUUCUCCUUCAUCGAGCAUGAAAAGAGUAUAUUGAUUUUAUUUUAGCCGAACAAAUAGUUUUUGCCAGUGAUGGAGGCAUCCGGCGUUUUCUGGUUCGUUGGCGAGGACGACCAAAUUUUGGCUAUACUUGAAUCCCACGCGAGGAGCUGCAGCAGAUUGACCCGGACUUGUUCGAGUACUACCGGGGCUACACCGAGCCACUUUCGUCACGGUCGACUUCUUUCCAUCCGGAGAGAGUUGGUGCGGACAACAGUGCCAGGUCAGCCGGUCGCCACAGGAUCCAGCCAGUUCAACGGGUUCAGUCAAUUCAGCGGGUUCAGCCAUUUCAGCUAGUUUUGGAUUGAUUUUAUGUGAUUUUAUUUUGUUCUAUUUUAUGUUGAUUGGGCUUGUUUGCAUAUUGUCAUUUGAAGACCUUUAUGGGAUUGUUUUUUUUUUUUGUAGGAGUCUUUUUGUUAUCUUGUGACCCUAUAUAUAUAUAUAUAUAUAUGGUUCAUGUACUUGUUAGGUAUUAAUUAGNNNNNNNNNNNNNNNNNNNNUUGUUUGCAUAUUGUCAUUUGAAGACCUUUAUGGGAUUGUUUUUUUUUUUGUUUAGGAGUCUUUUUGUUUAUCUUGUGACCCUAUAUAUAUAUAUAUGGGUUCAUGUACUUGUUAGGAUUAAUUGAAUGAAUUAGCCUCUUUUUUUCUCUGAAACUCUUGCGUGAAGCCAUGGCCAGAGCCAGGUGAGAAGCCUGGUUCUCUUUCUUUCCCUCCUCUUCUCUACUUCUUUCUUCUUCCCUCUUCUCCCUGCAGUUGUUCUGCAUCAAUCUAAUGCCAGAAUUUACAGCUAUUUUGCAGGCUGAUGCAAUAGGAGUAGCAUUUCAGAGAAGGAAGCUGUUUCAACCUUCAGGUUCAGUGAUGAUUGGCACAUCCUUAUGGUUUCAACGGGAGCCAGAUGUGUUAUUUUUACCUCUUCUUACUAUAAUAUAGCUAGUAUGUAUGCUGAGGUUUUUGUAUUUCUGUAAUCCUUGUUCUGAUUCCUAUUGUAUCCUGACCUUGUUGUUAGCUUUAAGCCCUUACUUGUACCAAAAAAAAGCCAACUAAUUAUAUCAUGGCACAUUCUUCCAAGGCACAACAAUAAUUGAUGGACAAAAAACAAUUGAACUUUCACAAUGAAAAAUGGCCUUAAAGUCUGUUGCGCGUAUAUCUAAUGGCCAAAAGGUGCAGAAUAGGCUUAAAUAAUGCCCUUAAAGAUCUUCUCAUUUUUACUUCAUUGCAUCUUUGUGAGGGUCAAAAUAACCAAGAGAGGAAUACGUGCAGAAUUUUUCUGGCCCAAGAUACUGUCAUGGGCUUUUAGCAUAUCCACGACGGGGCAGAAAAACAUUUGAAAUAUUUUCAAACCAACUAAAAAAUCGACAAAUUCAAGAAAUUCAAGAAAAAUAAUAAAAUAUGAAUAUUUAUAUGCCAAUUUAGCAAUUACCUUUAAUGCAUGUACCCAUGAUACUCUCUCGAAGGCAGUCCAAUUGAAAAAGCAAAGAAGACUCAGGGCUGACUUAAAAUUCACAAAAUUUAGAGGCAAGGAAACAUCACACCAAAUCUCAAUCAAGUAACAAAUACAUCAAAAAUGUCAAAACAAAAAACCGCAUCUACAUAUUAAUAAAUAAAAGAAGAAUACCAAAUGGAGAAACUACAAAGAUAAGGAAAACAAAAUGAUCAACUACGCAAGAAAACCCAAGGCUUAAUUUCCCAAAACAAAAAAAAAAGAAAAAGAAAUAUCAAGAGGCGAGAAACAAAACCCUAGAUCCAACUCAAACAAUAAAAGACCUCAGACAAUGAAAUUAAGCUCACAUCAAAAUAAUGGGAAAAAAGAAGAAUCCCAAAAGAGUACCAAAUAGAAGAUAUGAUAAGAAAAAUAAACUGAUAGGAAAAAUCAGAGACACCCAAAAAAAUUCAAGAAGCAAGAAAUACAACAUUAUAUUGAAAUUAAGACGACAACAACUAAUAAAAGAAUGACAAAAGAAUGAUAAAACAGGUAAAAUACAAAAAAUAAAAAAAUAGACCGAUCAAGAAACUUAGAAGACCCAAGGAUAACGUAAGAUUCAUGGCGAGGUCUUAGAAAAGGGAUCAGAAAUCUACAAGAAACCAAAAACGAGAGAGAGACAUACGGAGAAAGAGAUACAAGUGAGAGUUAGGAAUGGAAGGAAGGGAGAAUACCGUGGUGGAAGGAGAGGAACUGAAUUCCGAGGCCAAGGUCGAGGCCGGCAAUGGCUGGCGAGGUCCUCCUAACUGAGUGCCGCUCGCAGAGGACCAAGCAACGGUCGCCGCCGCCGCUCUCGUCUCCUCCGUCGUCGGUUUCUCGAACCCCUUCCCUUGAGACUUGGAGAUCUUUUACCGCUCA